Centruroides sculpturatus (bark scorpion) is the source of this 329-nucleotide long non-coding RNA. RefSeq lists it as uncharacterized. The transcript has 4 exons. NCBI's taxonomy places the organism in Eukaryota, Metazoa, Arthropoda, Arachnida, Scorpiones, Buthidae. The record is from RefSeq and is a predicted model, not a curated record.
UUUAUCAAUUUAAAAACUUUAUCAAAAUACAUAUCGUGGUUGCAGUACUUAUCCUGGUUUCGAUAUUCUAACGAAGCGUUAAUGGUAGUGCAAUGGGAAAAUGUUCAUAACAUUACUUGUUCCUCAAGGAAAGAUAUUCCUUGUGUUAGAGAAGGUGUCGAAGUAAUUGAAGAACUUGGUUUCAGUAGAGACGAAAAUGAAUGGAACUUUAUCUGCCUGUUUAUAUUAUAUAUUGCUUUUCAUUUGAUGGGAUUAAUUGCUUUAAUUUUGAGAUCUAAAAAGAAAUAAUAAUCAUGAAUGUUUGUAGCUAAUAUAUUUUUACAUUUGUU